This 421-nucleotide ribosomal RNA is filed under the name uncultured prokaryote. RNAcentral describes it as "bacterial SSU rRNA". It matches the Rfam family "Bacterial small subunit ribosomal RNA", at positions 339 to 774 of the family's 1533-position model. The record is from RNAcentral.
CCACGGGGGGCAGCAGUGGGGAAUAUUGGGCAAUGGAGGCAACUCUGACCCAGCAACGCCGCGUGAGGGAAGAAGGUUUUCGGAUUGUAAACCUCUGUCCUUGGGGACGAAGAAAGUGACGGUACCCAAGGAGGAAGCCCCGGCUAACUACGUGCCAGCAGCCGCGGUAAUACGUAGGGGGCAAGCGUUGUCCGGAAUUACUGGGCGUAAAGGGUGCGUAGGCGGUUAUUUAAGUCAGAUGUGAAAUCCCCGGACUUAACUCGGGUGGUGCAUUUGAAACUGGGUAACUAGAGUGCAGGAGAGGGAAGCGGAAUUCCUAGUGUAGCGGUGAAAUGCGUAGAUAUUAGGAGGAACACCAGUGGCGAAGGCGGCUUUCUGGACUGUAACUGACGCUGAGGCACGAAAGCGUGGGGAGCAAACA